RNAcentral lists this ribosomal RNA (510 nucleotides) under uncultured bacterium. RNAcentral's name for it is "partial 16S ribosomal RNA". It matches the Rfam family "Bacterial small subunit ribosomal RNA", at positions 28 to 507 of the family's 1533-position model. The record is from RNAcentral.
GACGAACGCUGGCGGCGUGCUUAACACAUGCAAGUCGAACGAAGAGCGAUGGAAGCUUGCUUCUAUCAAUCUUAGUGGCGAACGGGUGAGUAACGCGUAAUCAACCUGCCCUUCAGAGGGGGACAACAGUUGGAAACGACUGCUAAUACCGCAUACGAUCUAAUCUCGGCAUCGAGGAUAGAUGAAAGGUGGCCUCUACAUGUAAGCUAUCACUGAAGGAGGGGAUUGCGUCUGAUUAGCUAGUUGGAGGGGUAACGGCCCACCAAGGCGAUGAUCAGUAGCCGGUCUGAGAGGAUGAACGGCCACAUUGGGACUGAGACACGGCCCAGACUCCUACGGGAGGCAGCAGUGGGGAAUCUUCCGCAAUGGACAAAAGUCUGACGGAGCAACGCCGCGUGAGUGAUGACGGCCUUCGGGUUGUAAAGCUCUGUUAAUCGGGACGAAAGGCCUUCUUGCGAAUAGUGAGAAGGAUUGACGGUACCGGAAUAGAAAGCCACGGCUAACUACGUG